This 254-nucleotide ribosomal RNA is filed under the name uncultured bacterium. RNAcentral's name for it is "partial 16S ribosomal RNA". It matches the Rfam family "Bacterial small subunit ribosomal RNA", at positions 524 to 776 of the family's 1533-position model. The record is from RNAcentral.
UACGUAGGGGGCGAGCGUUGUCCGAAGUUACUGGGCGUAAAGCGCGCGUAGGCGGCUUCUUAAGUCUGGGGUGAAAGGUUCAACGCUCAACGUGAACAGUGCCUUGGAUACUGGGAAGCUUGAGUUCGGGAGGGGGCAGUGGAAUUCCGGGUGUAGCGGUGAAAUGCGUAGAUAUCCGGAGGAACACCGAUGGCGAAGGCAGCUGCCUGGCCUAGAACUGACGCUGAGGUGCGAAAGCGUGGGGAGCGAACGGG